CUUCCUCCGCCCCAAGCAGCCGGGGCGGUGCACCACCGGCCCCCGCUUCCUUCUCGGGGUUGGGAGGCACCGAGGGCCUCGAGGGGCUGCGGGACUCGGGCUUGGUGUGGAGGGCAAGAGCGCUGCGACGUGCGGACUGGAGAGUCAGCCUUUGGGCUGGAGACACGGGAGCGGGUGGCUACAGUGGUUUACGUUGUUGCACGGGGCGAGUAGAACGUAUCCUUCUUUGCGUCCAAAAUCUGGUUCCUUGUUGGAUUUGAACAGAUUAUGUGGCUCGUCGGGGCGAACCGAGGGUUUUUAUUUACUUGGAAAGAAUCAUCACAGCCCGCGAAUUCACAAACUGGCACGCAAUUU
This 354-nucleotide long non-coding RNA is filed under the name Homo sapiens (human). RNAcentral describes it as "non-protein coding lnc-TARDBP-5:2". The record is from RNAcentral. Lineage: Eukaryota; Metazoa; Chordata; Mammalia; Primates; Hominidae.